CCACAAAAGCUGCACCAUGGGCUCGUAAGUGGAAUCUAAAAGGCACAGUAUGAAAAUAAGGUCUCAAAGUCAUGCAACAGCACCACUGCAACUUGAAAGUAAUCUAUGACUUGAAAAUGGAGCUACAUGCCUCACAGAAAUUCAGCACUGCCAACAUUUGGAGGCCGACCCUUCCGACAUCUCAUCCUGGAUUCCUCUCUUGCUCGCUGUCUAUCUGGAUUUGGUGGUCUUCCUCUACGACACUCCAUUGCCCUGAUACGGGGAAUGACAUCCUCUUCUUUCAAAA
Molecule: long non-coding RNA, 286 nt
Organism: Lagenorhynchus albirostris (white-beaked dolphin)
Lineage: Eukaryota; Metazoa; Chordata; Mammalia; Artiodactyla; Delphinidae
Exons: 3
Source: RefSeq, a predicted model, not a curated record